CUACGGGUCGCUGCAGUGAGGAAUAUUGGUCAAUGGGCGCGAGCCUGAACCAGCCAUCCCGCGUGCAGGAUGACGGCCCUAUGGGUUGUAAACUGCUUUUCUAUGCCAAGAAACCUGAUUACGUGUAAUCAGUUGCCGGUAGCAUAGGAAUAAGCAUCGGCUAACUCCGUGCCAGCAGCUGCGGUAAUACGGAGGAUGCAAGCGUUAUCCGGAGUCAUUGGGUUUAAAGGGUGCGCAGGUGGGCUUGUAAGUCAGUGGUGAAAUGCUGCCGCUUAACGGUAGAACUGCCAUUGAUACUGCGAGUCUUGAGUAUGGUUGAGGUAGGCGGAAUGUGUUGUGUAGCGGUGAAAUGCAUAGAUAUGACACAGAACGCCAAUUGCGAAGGCAGCUUACUAAGCCAUUACUGACGCUGAGGCACGAAAGCGUGGGGAGCGAACAGGAUUAGAUACCCGGGUAGUC
RNAcentral lists this ribosomal RNA (459 nucleotides) under uncultured bacterium. RNAcentral's name for it is "partial 16S ribosomal RNA". It matches the Rfam family "Bacterial small subunit ribosomal RNA", at positions 339 to 795 of the family's 1533-position model. The record is from RNAcentral.